This 263-nucleotide signal recognition particle RNA is filed under the name Chloroflexota bacterium. Its description in RNAcentral is "Chloroflexi bacterium signal recognition particle sRNA large type". It matches the Rfam family "Bacterial large signal recognition particle RNA". Rfam says of the family: The signal recognition particle (SRP) is a universally conserved ribonucleoprotein involved in the co-translational targeting of proteins to membranes. Archaeal SRP consists of a 7S RNA and homologues of the eukaryotic SRP19 and SRP54 proteins. The record is from RNAcentral. Lineage: Bacteria; Bacillati; Chloroflexota.
UCGCGCUAGACGGGGAGUUAGCGGUGCCCUGUACCCGCAAUCCGCUACAGCGGGGUCGAACUCCCCUUUGAGGGGUGCGCUGUUCGGAGCGGCGUUUCGUGCGACUGCGUUGAUGGCCUGGUCCUGCGCGACCUGGUUCCGUGAACCCUGUCAGGUCCGGAAGGAAGCAGCAGUAAGCGGGGUGCCGGGGCGCCGCAGCCCACCGGGCCUGAGUGGUCCACGUUGUGUCCCCGGGCGGCGUUACAACGAGAAGGGGUGCGCGG